Molecule: transfer RNA, 73 nt
Filed under: Neurospora sublineolata FGSC 5508
Lineage: Eukaryota; Fungi; Ascomycota; Sordariomycetes; Sordariales; Sordariaceae
Description: tRNA-Ala (GGC) (tRNA-Ala-GGC-1-1)
Rfam family: tRNA
About the family: Transfer RNA (tRNA) molecules are approximately 80 nucleotides in length. Their secondary structure includes four short double-helical elements and three loops (D, anti-codon, and T loops).
Source: RNAcentral
GGGCAAUUGGUCUAGGGGUAUGAUUUUCGCUUGGCAUGCGCCUUUGUCACCGGUUCGAAUCCGGUAUUGUCCA